GAUCAUGGCUCAGGAUAAACGCUGGCGGCAUGCCUAAUACAUGCAAGUCGAACGGAGUUACCUUCGGGUAACUUAGUGGCGAACGGGUGAGUAACACGUAGGUAAUCCAUCCUAAGGACGAGGAUAGCUUCUGGAAACGAGGUAAAACUGGAUAGUUAUUAAAGGGCAUCCUUUAGUUAUUAAAAGAGCAAUCUACCCUGGGAAGAGCCUGCGGCGCAUUAGCUAGUUGGUGAGGUAAUGGCCCACCAAGGCGAUGAUGCGUAGCCGGACUGAGAGGUCGACCGGCCACAUUGGGACUGAGACACGGCCCAGACUCCUACGGGAGGCAGCAGUAGGGAAUUUUCGGCAAUGGGCGGAAGCCUGAACCCGAGCAAUGCCGCGUGAAUGAUGAAGUAUUUCGGUAUGUAAAGUUCUUUUAACAGGGACGAAAAACAAAUUGACGGUACCUGUUGAAUAAGCUCCGGCUAACUACGUGCCAGCCGCAGC
This 486-nucleotide ribosomal RNA is filed under the name uncultured bacterium. Its description in RNAcentral is "bacterial SSU rRNA". It matches the Rfam family "Bacterial small subunit ribosomal RNA", at positions 15 to 518 of the family's 1533-position model. The record is from RNAcentral.